AGCCAUCCUUGAAAUACCACCCUUUACCUAUUCGUGUGCUAACCCCGAUUCCCGUGAAGCCGGGCGGGGGACAGUGAGUGCUGGGUAGUUUGACUGGGGCGGUCUCCUCCCAAAGAGUAACGGAGGAGCACGAAGGUUAGCUAAUCACGGUCGGACAUCGUGAGGUUAGUGCAAUGGCAUAAGCUAGCUUAACUGCGAGACAGACACGUCGAGCAGGUACGAAAGUAGGUCAUAGUGAUCCGGUGGUUCUGUAUGGAAGGGCCAUCGCUCAACGGAU
RNAcentral lists this ribosomal RNA (277 nucleotides) under Strombidinopsis acuminata. RNAcentral describes it as "partial Bacterial large subunit ribosomal RNA". It matches the Rfam family "Bacterial large subunit ribosomal RNA", at positions 2184 to 2457 of the family's 2925-position model. Lineage: Eukaryota; Ciliophora; Spirotrichea; Choreotrichida; Strombidinopsidae. The record is from RNAcentral.